Molecule: ribosomal RNA, 158 nt
Filed under: Eruca vesicaria
Lineage: Eukaryota; Viridiplantae; Streptophyta; Magnoliopsida; Brassicales; Brassicaceae
Description: 5.8S ribosomal RNA
Rfam family: 5.8S ribosomal RNA
About the family: 5.8S ribosomal RNA (5.8S rRNA) is a component of the large subunit of the eukaryotic ribosome. It is transcribed by RNA polymerase I as part of the 45S precursor that also contains 18S and 28S rRNA.
Source: RNAcentral
AGGACUUUGGGCAACGGAUAUUUCGGCUCUGGCAUGGAUGAAGAAGGUAGCGAAAUGCGAUACUUGGUGUGAAUUGCAGAAUCCCGUGAACCAUGGAGUCUUUGAACCCAAGUUGCGCCCCAACCCUUCUGGCGGAGGGCACGUCUGCCUGGGUGUCA